UCCGCGGUAGCCAAGCGGUCGACGGCGGCGGGCUUAAGACCUGCUGAGUAGAUUUUCGAGGGUUCGAAUCCCUCCCGCGGAA
RNAcentral lists this transfer RNA (82 nucleotides) under Haloarcula argentinensis. RNAcentral's name for it is "tRNA-Leu". It matches the Rfam family "tRNA". Rfam says of the family: Transfer RNA (tRNA) molecules are approximately 80 nucleotides in length. Their secondary structure includes four short double-helical elements and three loops (D, anti-codon, and T loops). RNAcentral also lists the same sequence under 1 other name. The record is from RNAcentral. Lineage: Archaea; Methanobacteriati; Methanobacteriota; Halobacteria; Halobacteriales; Haloarculaceae.